This 27-nucleotide ribosomal RNA is filed under the name Bromus hordeaceus (soft brome). RNAcentral describes it as "partial 18S ribosomal RNA". The record is from RNAcentral. Lineage: Eukaryota; Viridiplantae; Streptophyta; Magnoliopsida; Poales; Poaceae.
ACCUGGUUGAUCCUGCAGUAGUCAUAU